Molecule: transfer RNA, 75 nt
Filed under: Pirellulaceae bacterium
Lineage: Bacteria; Pseudomonadati; Planctomycetota; Planctomycetia; Pirellulales; Pirellulaceae
Description: tRNA-Pro
Rfam family: tRNA
About the family: Transfer RNA (tRNA) molecules are approximately 80 nucleotides in length. Their secondary structure includes four short double-helical elements and three loops (D, anti-codon, and T loops).
Source: RNAcentral
CGGGGCGUAGCGCAGCCUGGCUUGCGCGCCUGCUUUGGGAGCAGGAGGUCCCCAGUUCGAAUCUGGGCGCCCCGA